CUGGAAUAUUCCUAACGCAAGAAGUACCUCAAAGUGUGGGAGAUAGAAAGGUUUCAAAAAGAUGUGGCCCUACCCAAACAAAUGGAGUUACAGAACAGGGAAGGGGAUGCUGUACAAUGUGGGUCAGUGAGGGCUGACAAGAAGCAUCACUCACUGUCUACACUGAGAAUGGUUUUGGGCCAGGAAGUGGAGACGACCAAAGGAGGAGGACAGGUCUGGAAUAAAACCCGAGUGCCACUUUGGAAGACCUCACGCCUUCUCUGUCAUCAGCAGCUGAGGCAGCCUGAAUGUCAACAUUCCCUUAGUGCAGGGAAUGUGUCCUCAAAAACUCCUUCAGGAAGCAGAGCUGCUUCUGCUCCCUCAGCCAUGGCCCAUUGCAUCAGAGCUCCUGACAAGGGACAGCCUCAGACACUGCCCUCCCUACCUGUGCUGCAUUUCUGGGAGGGGAUGUUCCCGUUCCCUAGGAUGAUGGGGACCUAAAUCUGUGUUAGAUCCAACAGGUUCAUCUGCACUGCCAUCAAAGUGAGGCUAAAGAGUUGGUGGGAAAGUUUAUUUUUAGUUAGAGUCCACAGCAUUACAAGUGUUGGUUUUGGCAGGCUGAAAACACCAUCCUGCCUCUAGGAGGGAAAAUUGAAAACUCUCAUAAUAAGUAGCUUAUGAAAAUUAAUCAUUACUCAAACACAUUUUAGUAGUAUAAAUUCCAUUAAGUAUUUUAUAAUCUGGUUCUGUUUUAUUUCUUUGUCUAUAACAACCAUAAUCAAUAAAAUAUACAAUAGCCCUAUAUGUUCCCA
This 791-nucleotide long non-coding RNA is filed under the name Junco hyemalis (dark-eyed junco). RNAcentral's name for it is "lncRNA (ENSJHYG00000000738.1)". Lineage: Eukaryota; Metazoa; Chordata; Aves; Passeriformes; Passerellidae. The record is from RNAcentral.